RNAcentral lists this ribosomal RNA (402 nucleotides) under uncultured Rhodospirillales bacterium. RNAcentral describes it as "bacterial SSU rRNA". It matches the Rfam family "Bacterial small subunit ribosomal RNA", at positions 353 to 772 of the family's 1533-position model. Lineage: Bacteria; Pseudomonadati; Pseudomonadota; Alphaproteobacteria; Rhodospirillales. The record is from RNAcentral.
AGUGGGGAAUCUUGGACAAUGGGCGCAAGCCUGAUCCAGCGACGCCGCGUGGGUGAUGAAGGCCUUCGGGUUGUAAAGCCCUUUCACCGGGGACGAUGAUGACGGUACCCGGCGAAGAAGCACCGGCUAACUCCGUGCCAGCAGCCGCGGUAAGACGGAGGGUGCUAGCGUUGUUCGGAAUCACUGGGCGUAAAGGGCGCGUAGGCGGCUAUGGCAGUCGGGUGUGAAAGCCCGGAGCUCAACUCCGGAAUUGCACUCGAGACGCCAUGGCUGGAGGUCGGAAGAGGAGGGUGGAAUACCCAGUGUAGAGGUGAAAUUCGUAGAUAUUGGGUGGAACACCGGUGGCGAAAGCGGCUCUCUGGUCCGAACCUGACGCUGAGGCGCGAAAGCGUGGGGAGCAAA